GUCUCUGAUAGCUCAACUGGUAGAGCUUUCAGCGCGUAACUAAAUGAUCUGAGUUCGAAUCCCGGUCUAGACU
RNAcentral lists this transfer RNA (73 nucleotides) under Cotesia glomerata. RNAcentral's name for it is "tRNA-Thr". Lineage: Eukaryota; Metazoa; Arthropoda; Insecta; Hymenoptera; Braconidae. The record is from RNAcentral.